This 5041-nucleotide long non-coding RNA is filed under the name Pan troglodytes (chimpanzee). RNAcentral describes it as "long non-coding RNA NONPTRT000808". The record is from RNAcentral. Lineage: Eukaryota; Metazoa; Chordata; Mammalia; Primates; Hominidae.
UAAUCAUUGUUGUGUCAGUUAUUCACUUCUGGGCUCGCGAUGUCGCUGACAGCACAGUGUCAACCCCUCGUGAAAACACUUAAAAAUGGCGAAGCUGUCCCCGAGGCUGCGUGCUUCUGGAUGAAGGGCCCUGGCCGCACAGGGGCAGGUGGAGGAAAGUGCAGAGAGGGAUUUGCUUCGGAAUUUCCAGCCCAAUCCCUACUGUGGGAAGUGGAAGAAUGAGGCUGGUUCCAGCUUGCUUGCUUUAUUUAUGUUGUUAUGUUAUGUUAUGUUAUGUUAUGUUAUGUUAUGUUAUGUUAUGUUAUGUUAUGUUUCGAGAUGGAAUCUGGCUCAGUUACGCAGGCUGGAGCACGAUCUCGGCUCACUGCAACUUCUGCCUCCCAGGUUCAAGCAAGUCUCCUGCCACAGCUUCCCGAGUAGGUGGGAUUACAGGCACCUGCCACCACGCCCGGUUAUUUUUUUGUAUCUUUAGUACAGACGGAAUUUCACCAUGUUGGCCAGGCUGGUCUCGAACUCCUGACCCCGUGAUCCGCCCGCCUCGGCCUCCUAAAGUGCUGGGAUUACAGGCGUGAGCCACUGCACCCAGCCCUAGCCUGCUUUCUUAAAUCCAGGAACGGGGCUCUAACAAGCCCAACAGGUCUCAACUCCAAGGCCCCCUUCCCGGCUGCUCACUGGCCCCUGCCGAGAGGGAUCCUUUGGGUACAGAAGCACUGACUUCCCUGUGUUCCCGGGGUUCCUGUCCGAGCCUGUGCUCUGCACACGUGCCCCUUCCCACGUGUCCCUUCCAUGGAUUAAUUUAGGAGUUAAUUCAUGAAGAGGUGCCCAGAGCUUGGCCCGGCCCCCGGUGAGAGGCAUUAUUUUUAUUCUUCCCCCUCCAGAACAGGGGUCUUGUCCGUCUUCUCUUUGGUGGUAUAUUGGAUGAAGUAGGUGCUCAGCAAAUGUAGGAGGAGGUGCAGACUCCACAUCUGCAAAGUCCAUGCACCCACUGCGGCCAGCACACCAUCACUGCCUCCGGACAGUGCCCGGCCCUCCCUGUCUUUCCUUCCUGAGCUUUGGAACUAAGCAGUGAGAGUGGUUCAUGGUCGCAAUCCCUUCAAUAUCUGCGAAGAGCUUAUCUGAGGAUAUCUUGGUGCUGAUCACCUCUGAGAAGCAGCGUUGAUCUUGACUCACUGGAUCCGAUUCAUUCAGGAUAAGCCACACCCUAUUGCCAUUUUCUUCACGCUCCUCUAUUAUCUGGGGCAUAAAAUUAACAUUUAAUUUUCUUCUUUUUCUUUUAAGAGACAAGGUCUUGCUCUGUGGCCCAGGCUGGAGUGCAGUGGCACGAUCUCAGCUCACUGUAGCCUCCACCUCCCGGGUUCAAGGGAUCCUUGCACCUCAGCUUCUGGAGGAGCUGGGACCACAGAGGCAUGUCACUGCACCCAGAUAAUUUUCUAUUUUUUGUAGAGAUGGGGUCUCACUAUGUUUCCCAGGCUGGUCUCAAACUCCUGGCCUCAAGGGAUCCUCCCCCGUGGCCUCCCAAAGUGCUGAGAUUGCAGGCGUGAGCCUCCGCGCCCAGCCAAUGUUGAACUUUUGCUGGAAAGUCGUGCUGUUGUGUGUAUGUCAGUUGAAGCUGGGCGGGCAUCUUAGCCAAAUAUCUGGUGGUUUGGUGGCAUCAAAUUGUCUCCUCUUCCUUCAGUCCUAGAGGCAAAUGCAUGUCCCAUCCAUCAUUCACAGGUUUCUGCAAGGUUUGAAGUCUGCACACUUCAUUUCCAUUCUUUAUUGUUCCUAACUGGUCUUUCUUUCUUUCUUUCUUUUUCUUUCUUUCUUUCUUUUUUGUUUUUGAAAUGGAGUUUCGCUCUUGUUGCCUAGGCUGGAGGGCAGUGGCACUAUCUCAGCUCAUUGCAACCUCCACCUCCUGGGUUCAAGCAAUUCUCCUGCCUCAGCCUCCCAAGUGGCUGGGAUUACAGGCGCCUGCGACCAUGCCCAGCUAAUUUUUGUAUUUUUAGUAGAGACGGGGUUUCACCAUGUUGGCCAGGCUGGUCUCGAACUCCUGACCUCAAGUGAUCGGCCCACAUCGGCCUCCCAAAGUGCUGGGAUUACAGGCGUGAGCCACCGCACCCGGCCUCCUAACUGAUGUUUCAGUUUGGAUCUGAAGAACGGGAAUUUUCAUAAUUUCUUUUUCAAGGUUUUUGAGAAUUAGUUUGUUGCCAUUUCCGAACUUCCAUCCCGUUGUGAUGUGCAUAACCAGUCGGCUUCCUUAGCCUCAUCCUCCACCCAGGGAAGCUCCGACCACGCCAGCACCAGGAAGGCCAGCCGGGGAGCAGCCUGGCCCAGGGGUCAGGAGCCGGGGCCUGUGUGGCCGGCACCUGGUGGAUGUGAGCCCCAGGACAGGGAGUUUCUGUACCCAUGAGAUGGAAGCAGCUCACUUCUUGGCCCCUUUCAAGAAUCUGGGAAGAGCUCCAGGAGUCAGAGGUCUGGGUGCCAGUCCCAGCUCUGCUCCAAACUGGCCGUGUGACCUCAGCGAAGUUAUUUCCCAGUUUUGUUUUCUUCUUUUACAAAAUGACAGGGUGAGAGUCGUGACUGGUUUUCUUAGUGUCAGAAGUGCUUAACUCUGUUAGAAAGCGUCUCAGGUUGUUUUGUUUGACAGUGACUACCCACUUUGCAGAGAUGUGGGCUGCCCGCUCUCUGGGGAAUACUGGAGGUUAUGCCCCAUCUCCUGUCCUGUGGGAGAACCCACCCUCCGAACGAGGCUCUGGUGAGGUUUUCACAAUCAGUAACAAGGCCGAUCUCCAUCAACGGAAGCCUCCCUGUUUGAGAUGGGGUAUGUGCUCCUUACCCAGGCUCCUGAACAAAACCCACCUCCUUGUCUUGGCACCACUGAGAGUGCACACCGAGGGGGCUCCAGCACCAUAUUGUGGGAACAGUCACGAGAAAGCAGCUCAGACUUCACACCCAGAGCCCUUGAUCCCUACACACCCAGUAUUCCUUCACAGCGCUCUUCCUGCUUCCUGGACACGUGGAACUGCUUCUCCAUCGGGGAGGAUCCAUCCAGAGCCCUUUGGGUGGGUGCUCAGGGCAAUAGCUGCUGCCUCUUCCUUCUGCUCAGCGCUGGGAGGCAUUACACUCUCCCCAUAUGGCACGGAGCAGAACGUGCACCUUUGGCUCUGGAAGGAAUGAACAUCCUGCCCGUUAGUUAGCCCUGGGAGUCACUGACUCGGUUCUUCCCUGGACACCAAUGUCCUAUGGAGCACACAGAAAGCCACGGAAGUGUGGUCUGCGGGUUGAGACGGACUCCGUUCAUUUGGAUAAGCAGAGGAAAUUUGGCAGAAACGACCAAAUGCAAACUACGUGUAGCAGCCUGAGACCGGCCGUCUACUGAAACAAAGGAUGCAGUUCAGUCGGAAACCACGCUUAGCAGUGUAGCUGUCUUUAGCCAUCCAGGCCCUGAGAACCAAUGAACAACCCAGCUUGGCCGCUUAGAACAUUUUUUCUGUACUUGAGUUAAAUAGAUAUCCAAGAACCAUUACUCAUUUUUAAUGUGGAGAAGUCGGUAUUCUAUUCUCGUGUUCUAUGUUUUUUAAAGCGGCAAUUUGAAUUAUUUCGUGCGAUAGAAAACCUUAAACACAAAGUAACGUUUCUAACAAAAGGGCUGUCGAUCAAGUGACAAACACGUCCUACUUUUAGAUACGAGCACGACUGAGGCAACGGCAUGAAAACGCCUAAAGUGGGCUGCUGGGGAGACAAGAUCUGGCCGCGAAUGGAACUCGCGGCAGCUCAUUAACGGGACCGUCCAGCAGGAAGGUGGGUUGGCAGCCUUCUCCCAGGGCUCCCCACGAUCCCUACCCCUGGUGUGGUGUGGCCUUCCUCCUCACAUGUCGUCUGGACCAAGCAGUGUGUUGUUCUCAUCCAUAAAGAGUGAUGGGCCGGGCACCAUGGCCACACCUGUGAUCCCAGCACUGUGGGAGGCUGAGGCAGGAGGAUCUCCUGAGCCCAGGAGUUUGAGACCAGCCUGGGUAGCAUAGGGAGACCCUGUCUCUACAGAAAAAAAGUUAGCCAGGUAUUCCAGAGGCUGAGGUGGGAGGAUCGCUUGAACCCAGGAGGUGGAGACUGCAGUGAGCCGUGAUCGCACCACUGCACUCCAACCUGGGCAACAGACUGAGACCCAGUUUCUAAAACAAAUAAUAAAAAGGCAGGGUGCAGUGGCUCAUACCUGUAAUCCCAGCACGUUGGGAGGCCAAGGUGGGCGGAUCACUUGAGGUCAGGAGUUCGAGACCAGCUGGCCCACAUGGUAAAACCCCAUCUCUACUAAAAUGCAAAAAUCAACCGGGCACAGUGGCACAGGCCUGUAAUCCCAGCUCUUCAGGAGGCCGAGGCAGGAGAACUGGGAGGCGAGAUUGCAGUGAGCUGAGAUCGUGCCACUGCACUCCAUCCAGGCUGGGUGACAGAGCUAGACACCAUCUUGAAAAAAAAUAAAAAUAAAAUAAAAAGAGUGAUGAGGCAUCCUGAGAUUCAUUUAUAAAAUGCCGUGAUUCAGGUCUCAGGGCACUGUCGCCCCUACUCACUUUGAUGAAGCCAGUGCUGGGUUGCUGCCGAGGUGGGGAGGUUCAUGGGCCAGGAACUGAAGGCAGCCAUGAGAGCCAGACCCCUCCACCACCCCCAAGACAGCAGGGAACUCACUCCAACAGCCACCCUGGGAUGCUGCCACAGCUGAGCCUGGAGGUGACCGUGACCCUGGCUGACGUCGGACUGCAGCUUUGUAAGGGAGACUGAGCCGGGACCCAGACCUACAAAAGCUGAGAUGAUAAACACUGUUUUAAGCUGCUGUGUGUCGCAGUGACUCGUGUGGCAGUGGAUUUCUAGCAGAGCCGUCGUUCCUGUCUGGCUUCUGUCAGCUCAACACUCUGUAGGGCCACCCAUGCUGUCGUGCAUGCCAGCGGUGGACUUUUCAUUGCUGAGUAAUAUUUCAUUCCAUUGCAUGCUCGCACCUCGGUUUGUUGAACUGUCUACCUGUUGAUGGGCUCUGGGACAUAGGCAGUUCUGGGCUAUUAUGAGUAAAGCUGCU